GAUGAACGCUAGCGGCAGGCUUAACACAUGCAAGUCGAGGGGUAUGCUUCUUCGGAAGCAGAGACCGGCGCACGGGUGCGUAACGCGUAUGCAAUCUACCUUUUACAGAGGGAUAGCCCAGAGAAAUUUGGAUUAAUACCUCAUAGUAUUAUAGAAUGGCAUCAUUUUAUAAUUAAAGUCACAACGGUAAAGAUGAGCAUGCGUCCCAUUAGCUAGUUGGAAGGUAACGGCUUACCAAGGCUACGAUGGGUAGGGGUCCUGAGAGGGAGAUCCCCCACACUGGUACUGAGACACGGACCAGACUCCUACGGGAGGCAGCAGUGAGGAAUAUUGGACAAUGGGCGCAAGCCUGAUCCAGCCAUGCCGCGUGCAGGAUGACGGUCCUAUGGAUUGUAAACUGCCUUUAUACGAGAAGAAACACUCCUUCGUGAAGGAGCUUGACGGUAUCGUAAGAAUAAGGAUCGGCUAACU
This 471-nucleotide ribosomal RNA is filed under the name uncultured bacterium. RNAcentral's name for it is "bacterial SSU rRNA". It matches the Rfam family "Bacterial small subunit ribosomal RNA", at positions 28 to 502 of the family's 1533-position model. The record is from RNAcentral.